This 253-nucleotide ribosomal RNA is filed under the name uncultured Armatimonadota bacterium. Its description in RNAcentral is "uncultured Armatimonadetes bacterium partial 16S ribosomal RNA". It matches the Rfam family "Bacterial small subunit ribosomal RNA", at positions 524 to 776 of the family's 1533-position model. Lineage: Bacteria; Bacillati; Armatimonadota. The record is from RNAcentral.
UACGGAGGGGGCGAGCGUUGUCCGAAGUUACUGGGCGUAAAGCGCGCGUAGGCGGGGCCACAAGUCCGCUGUGAAAGCCCGAGGCUCAACCUCGGAGGGUCGGUGGAGACUGUGGCUCUUGAAGAUGCUAGGGGGAGAUGGAAUUACCGGUGUAGCGGUGAAAUGCGUAGAGAUCGGUAGGAACACCAGUGGCGAAGGCGGUCUCCUGGGGCAUUCUUGACGCUGAUGCGCGAAAGCUGGGGGAGCGAACGGG